Molecule: microRNA precursor, 60 nt
Filed under: Homo sapiens (human)
Lineage: Eukaryota; Metazoa; Chordata; Mammalia; Primates; Hominidae
Description: Hsa-Mir-325_pre stem-loop
Source: RNAcentral
CCUAGUAGGUGUCCAGUAAGUGUUUGUGACAUAAUUUGUUUAUUGAGGACCUCCUAUCAA